Pan troglodytes (chimpanzee) is the source of this 214-nucleotide long non-coding RNA. RefSeq lists it as uncharacterized. The transcript has 3 exons. NCBI's taxonomy places the organism in Eukaryota, Metazoa, Chordata, Mammalia, Primates, Hominidae. The record is from RefSeq and is a predicted model, not a curated record.
CAAGGUUCAGAGAGCAAUGCGAUAGAAAAACUGCUUACAUGAGAGCAUCCUCCUCUUAUCAGAGCCCUCACCUAUGCACACCUACAUAAGCUUCUGAGAACUGUUCGGCUGAGUCUGAAAAAUGCCUGGGAGAGAACUUCCUGAGGGACUGAGAUGUAUCAUCUUUAAGAAAAUUGUGACUGAAGUAAUUCAUAGGGAAAACUACUCCAAGGUA